UGGGGGAUAUUGCACAAUGGGCGAAAGCCUGAUGCAGCGACGCCGCGUGGGGGAUGAAGGCCUUCGGGUUGUAAACUUCUUUUGCUCUGAACAAGGCAUGCCUUUGGGGUGUGUUGAGUGUAGGGGUUGAUUAGCGCCGGCUAACUACGUGCCAGCAGCCGCGGUAAUACGUAGGGCGCGAGCGUUGUCCGGAAUUAUUGGGCGUAAAGGGCUUGUAGGUGGCUGGUUGCGUCUGUCGUGAAAGCUCAUGGCUUAACUGUGGGUUUGCGGUGGGUACGGGCUGGCUUGAGUGCAGUAGGGGAGGCUGGAAUUCCUGGUGUAGCGGUGGAAUGCGCAGAUAUCAGGAGGAAUACCGGUGGCGAAGGCGGGUCUCUGGGCUGUUACUGACGCUGAGGAGCGAAAGCGUGGGAGCGAACAGG
This 419-nucleotide ribosomal RNA is filed under the name Fusobacteriota bacterium. RNAcentral describes it as "Fusobacteria bacterium partial 16S ribosomal RNA". It matches the Rfam family "Bacterial small subunit ribosomal RNA", at positions 355 to 776 of the family's 1533-position model. The record is from RNAcentral. Lineage: Bacteria; Fusobacteriati; Fusobacteriota.